CUACGGGUUGCUCCAGUUAGGAAUAUUUUGCAAUGCGCGCAAGCGUGACAAAUUGAGCCAGAGUGUUUUUCAAAUGAAAAACUUUUGCCAAAUGUAAAAAGUUUGGCGAAUAAGGACUGGGUAAGACUAGUGCCAGCCGCCGCGGUAAUACUAGCGGUCCAAGUCGCAGCCAUUUUUAUUGGGUCUAAAACAUCCGUAGCUUGUUUAAUAAGUUUCUUGUGAAAUUUUAUGUCUCAAACAUAGAGCGUGCGAGAAAUACUGUUAAGCUAGAGACUGGAAGGCGUAAGAAGUAUGUUUAAAGUAGCGGUAAAAUGUGUUAAUCUUAAACAGACUCACAAUAGCGAAGGCAUCUUACGAGGACAGUUCUGACAGUAAGGGAUGAAGGCUAGGGGCGCAAAACGGAUUAGAUACCCUGGUAGUC
Molecule: ribosomal RNA, 421 nt
Filed under: uncultured archaeon
Lineage: Archaea
Description: partial 16S ribosomal RNA
Rfam family: Archaeal small subunit ribosomal RNA
Source: RNAcentral